GUGUUUGAAUGCUUGUUCCCUAGCU
Molecule: non-coding RNA, 25 nt
Filed under: Rattus norvegicus (Norway rat)
Lineage: Eukaryota; Metazoa; Chordata; Mammalia; Rodentia; Muridae
Source: RNAcentral